GACCCCUACUACCACAACUGCCUCCAGAACGGGAGACUCCAGCCCUCACUGAAAAGCCUUCAUGAAUAUGAAACCCUCCGCCUACGGACACGGAUGCUAGAGCAGCCUGCUGCCAACCCCACUAGCCACAUCCCCGGUGAGAGGCAGGAGCCCUGGCGGUGGCAGAAGAAAAGCCGAUUCGAGUCCAUCCUUUGUACACUCAUGUGAAGGCAAGCAGCAGAGAC
This 224-nucleotide long non-coding RNA is filed under the name Crocodylus porosus (Australian saltwater crocodile). RNAcentral describes it as "lncRNA (ENSCPRG00005007846.1)". Lineage: Eukaryota; Metazoa; Chordata; Crocodylia; Crocodylidae. The record is from RNAcentral.